RNAcentral lists this ribosomal RNA (273 nucleotides) under uncultured Staphylococcus sp. Its description in RNAcentral is "partial 16S ribosomal RNA". It matches the Rfam family "Bacterial small subunit ribosomal RNA", at positions 90 to 354 of the family's 1533-position model. The record is from RNAcentral. Lineage: Bacteria; Bacillati; Bacillota; Bacilli; Caryophanales; Staphylococcaceae.
CGUUAGCGGCGGACGGGUGAGUAACACGUGGAUAACCUACCUAUAAGACUGGGAUAACUUCGGGAAACCGGAGCUAAUACCGGAUAAUAUAUUGAACCGCAUGGUUCAAUGGUGAAAGACGGUUUUGCUGUCACUUAUAGAUGGAUCCGCGCCGCAUUAGCUAGUUGGUAAGGUAACGGCUUACCAAGGCAACGAUGCGUAGCCGACCUGAGGAGGGUUAUCGGCCACACUGGAACUGAGACACGGUCCAGACUCCUACGGGAGGCAGCAGGG